RNAcentral lists this ribosomal RNA (459 nucleotides) under uncultured bacterium. RNAcentral describes it as "partial 16S ribosomal RNA". It matches the Rfam family "Bacterial small subunit ribosomal RNA", at positions 338 to 795 of the family's 1533-position model. The record is from RNAcentral.
CCUACGGGUGGCAGCAGUGAGGAAUAUUGGUCAAUGGCCGGAAGGCUGAACCAGCCAAGCCGCGUGAAGGACGAAGGUGCCAAGCAUUGUAAACUUCUUUUGUCAAGGGACAAAAUCCGGCUCGAGAGCCUGACCGAGGGUACUUGAAGAAAAAGCAUCGGCUAACUCCGUGCCAGCGGCCGCGGUAAUACGGAGGAUGAGAGCGUUAUCCGGAUUUAUUGGGUUUAAAGGGUGCGUAGGCGGGCUGGUAAGUCAGCGGUAAAAGCCCGGGGCUCAACCCCGGCGAGCCGUUGAAACUGGCGGUCUUGAGAUGUCGAGAGGUAUGCGGAAUGCGUAGUGUAGCGGUGAAAUGCUUAGAUAUUGCGCAGAACUCCGAUUGCGAAGGCAGCAUACCGGCGGCGAUCUGACGCUGAGGCACGAAAGCGUGGGUAUCGAACAGGAUUAGAUACCCCAGUAGUC